This 468-nucleotide ribosomal RNA is filed under the name uncultured bacterium. Its description in RNAcentral is "partial 16S ribosomal RNA". It matches the Rfam family "Bacterial small subunit ribosomal RNA", at positions 28 to 507 of the family's 1533-position model. The record is from RNAcentral.
GACGAACGCUGGCGGCGUGCUUAACACAUGCAAGUCGAACGGAAAGGCCCUGCUGUUGUGGGUUGCUCGAGUGGCGAACGGGUGAGUAACACGUGAGUAACCUGCCCUUGACUUUGGGAUAACUUCAGGAAACUGGGGCUAAUACCGGAUAGGAGCUCCUGCUGCAUGGUGGGGGUUGGAAAGUUUCGGCGGUUGGGGAUGGACUCGCGGCUUAUCAGCUUGUUGGUGGGGUAGUGGCUUACCAAGGCUUUGACGGGUAGCCGGCCUGAGAGGGUGACCGGCGACAUUGGGACUGAGAUACGGACCAGACUCCUACGGGAGGCAGCAGUGGGGAAUAUUGCACAAUGGGCGGAAGCCUGAUGCAGAAACGCCGCGUGCGGGAUGACGGCCUUCGGGUUGUAAACCGCUUUCGCCUGUGACGAAGCGUGAGUGACGGUAAUGGGUAAAGAAGCACCGGCUAACUACGUG